UUGUGGAGGAAUGCUUACAAAUCCGACAUCACUGACCUUGCACCAACCGAUCAUGGGUGGAAUGAAAAUAAUAAUAAAUUCGAGUUCACGUGGUUUAUCGGGAAUCAAUUGCCCGAUGCGUAUGAAAAUGUUGUUGUAUCGCCGGAUAUUCUGGGCAACGAGAAUGACACUGAGGACAGCAAUGACGAGACGCUUGAUUCAGGCACUCAGCAGGAAAGAAUUGUGGAUGAGGAGCCACAAUAUGAAAGUUCCAGUGAAGAAGAAGAAGAAGAUGAAUUGUAUUGAGCAAAAAUGUAAAAAUCAUACAUAACAAUACAAUUAUAAUCCAAUUUUUAUAUCAUUUCAUUUUUUUAUACAAUAAAUAAUACACUUCGUACUACAUUUCAUCUACAUUUACGUUGGUUGUAUCUAUCGCUUUAUUGUCAUUCUUAAAUUCCCCGUUUUAUCAAGGAGAAAGAAAGGAAAAAAAGAAACCAAAAAACCUUUUUCGGUCAGAUUAAGAGAACCCACCAACAUUUUUGUCAGAUUAAAAAAAUAUGCUUUCAGGAUACCGAGAUAAACCUCCCCUAUGAAAAUCUGACGCGCUCGAGUAUUUCAAAAAAACUUUUUUUUUUGCAUUUUCAAAAAUUCAUCGUAACUUAUCGUCACGCCGAAAUCGUCAGUUUUUUUAAAGGAAGCUUCCUUGGGGCCUACUUAACACCCCUUCCGAAAAUCUGACGCGCUCGAGUAAAUUUUUUUUUUUUGCAUUUUUGAC
Molecule: long non-coding RNA, 754 nt
Organism: Cydia fagiglandana
Lineage: Eukaryota; Metazoa; Arthropoda; Insecta; Lepidoptera; Tortricidae
Exons: 2
Source: RefSeq, a predicted model, not a curated record